Molecule: ribosomal RNA, 540 nt
Filed under: uncultured archaeon
Lineage: Archaea
Description: bacterial SSU rRNA
Rfam family: Archaeal small subunit ribosomal RNA
Source: RNAcentral
CAGCAGCCGCGGUAAUACCAGCUCUCCGAGUGGUAGGGAUGUUUAUUGGGCUUAAAGCGUCCGUAGCCGGCUUAGCAAGUUUCCUGUUAAAUUCAGCGACCUAAUCGUUGAGCCGCGGGAAAUACUACUAGGCUAGGAGGCGGGAGAGGUCGACGGUACUUCUGGGGUAGGGGUGAAAUCCUAUAAUCCCGGGAGGACCACCAGUGGCGAAGGCUGUCGACUAGAACGCGCUCGACGGUGAGGGACGAAAGCUGGGGGAGCAAACCGGAUUAGAUACCCGGGUAGUCCCAGCUGUAAACGAUGCGGGCUAGGUGUUGGAAUGGCUACGUGCCAUUUCAGUGCCGCAGGGAAGCCAUUAAGCCCGCCGCCUGGGGAGUACGGCCGCAAGGCUGAAACUUAAAGGAAUUGGCGGGGGAGCACCACAAGGCGUGAAGCUUGCGGUUCAAUUGGAGUCAACGCCGGGAACCUUACCGGGGGCGACAGCAGAAUGAUAACCAGAUUGAAGGUCUUGUUUGACAAGCUGAGAGGAGGUGCAUGGCC